This 862-nucleotide long non-coding RNA is filed under the name Homo sapiens (human). RNAcentral describes it as "HSALNT0176312". The record is from RNAcentral. Lineage: Eukaryota; Metazoa; Chordata; Mammalia; Primates; Hominidae.
CAGGCCAGUCUCAAACUCCUGGGCUCAACUUGAGCUCAACCACCAACAAGGUGAUGUAGCUCUGAAAGCAAAGAUUAGGAAGGUGCUAAGUGGUUGGAUGACUGGCCUUGCUUUCUUCCAAAGAUGAUGAAAGAGGGCUGUGAAGCAGGCUGCAUAGGUUUGGUGGUGGUAAUUCUGACAGGUGAGGUCUGGAAAGCCUGUGGGGGGGACUGGAUGUCUGAACUGGUUCUUGAGGGAUGGGUAGAAUUUUGACUGGUGGAGAAGGGGAUAAGGGUAUUCUAGAAAGAGGGUACUGCCUGGGAGAGGCCAAGGACUGGAGGCAUGCUACAGGGUACAUAAAUAGGAUAAAUAGCAUUUGAUUUGGAAGUUGAUAACAAGGAAGCGUUUUUUUUUUUUUGUUUUUUGUUUUUUUUUUAUAUACGGAGUCUCACUCUGUUGCCCAGGCUGGAGUGCAGUGGCACAGUCUCGGCUCACUGCAACUUCUGCCUCCCAGGCUCAAGCGAUUCUCUUGCCUCAGCCUCCUGAGUAGCUGGGAUUACAGGCAUCCGCCACCACGCCCAGCUAAGUUUUUUUUGUAUUUUUAUUAGAGACAGGGUUUCACUAUGUUGGCCAGGCUAGUCUGGAACUCCUGACCUCAGGCAAUCCGCCCACCUCAGCCUCCCAAAAUGCUGGGAUUACAGGCGUGAACCACUGCACCCGGCCAAGGAAGCAUUUUAAUACAAGAUGAACACUAUAUUAGGUUGGGAUUAAAUGUAAAGGGCUUUAAGUGCUAGGUUGAGAGAUGUGCACUUUUAUUGGUGUUGGUGAGUUAUUCAUUUAUUGUUUUUGUUUUUCUGAGAGACGGAGUCUUGCUCUGUCACUG